Molecule: unclassified non-coding RNA, 90 nt
Filed under: Saccharomyces cerevisiae S288C
Lineage: Eukaryota; Fungi; Ascomycota; Saccharomycetes; Saccharomycetales; Saccharomycetaceae
Description: poly(A) RNA from Saccharomyces cerevisiae S288C (PDB 6R5K, chain E)
Source: RNAcentral
AAAAAAAAAAAAAAAAAAAAAAAAAAAAAAAAAAAAAAAAAAAAAAAAAAAAAAAAAAAAAAAAAAAAAAAAAAAAAAAAAAAAAAAAAA